GUGGGGAAUAUUGCACAAUGGGCGCAAGCCUGAUGCAGCAACGCCGCGUGAGGGAUGACGGCCUUCGGGUUGUAAACCUCUUUUAGUAGGGAAGAAGCGAAAGUGACGGUACCUGCAGAAAAAGCACCGGCUAACUACGUGCCAGCAGCCGCGGUAAUACGUAGGGUGCAAGCGUUGUCCGGAAUUAUUGGGCGUAAAGAGCUCGUAGGCGGCUUGUCGCGUCUGCUGUGAAAACCCGAGGCUCAACCUCGGGCCUGCAGUGGGUACGGGCAGGCUAGAGUGCGGUAGGGGAGAUUGGAAUUCCUGGUGUAGCGGUGGAAUGCGCAGAUAUCAGGAGGAACACCGAUGGCGAAGGCAGAUCUCUGGGCCGUAACUGACGCUGAGGAGCGAAAGCAUGGGGAGCGAACAGGAUUAGAAACCCCAGUAGUCC
Molecule: ribosomal RNA, 430 nt
Filed under: uncultured bacterium
Lineage: Bacteria
Description: partial 16S ribosomal RNA
Rfam family: Bacterial small subunit ribosomal RNA
Source: RNAcentral